AACAGCUCAAAUUUGAAAUCUGGCCCCCUCGGGGCCCGAGUUGUAAUUUGUAGAGGAUGUUUCGGGUGUGGCUCCGGUCUAAGUUCCUUGGAACAGGACGUCAUAGAGGGUGAGAAUCCCGUAUGUGACUGGCAGCCUACGCCCAUGUGAAACUCCUUCGACGAGUCGAGUUGUUUGGGAAUGCAGCUCAAAAUGGGUGGUAAAUUUCAUCUAAAGCUAAAUAUUGGCCAGAGACCGAUAGCGCACAAGUAGAGUGAUCGAAAGAUGAAAAGCACUUUGGAAAGAGAGUUAAACAGUACGUGAAAUUGUUGAAAGGGAAGCGCUUGCAACCAGACUUGCGUGCGGCCGAUCAUCCGGUGUUCUCACCGGUGCACUCGGUCGUGCUCAGGCCAGCAUCGGUUUCGGCGGCUGGAUAAAGGCCAUGGGAAUGUAGCUCCUCUCGGGGAGUGUUAUAGCCCGUGGUGCAAUGCAGCCCGCUGGGACCGAGGACCGCGCUUCGGCUAGGAUGCUGGCGUAAUGGUUGUAAGCGACCCGUCUUGAAACACGGACCAAGGAGUCUAACAUCUAUGCGAGUGUUUGGGUGUCAAACCCAUACGCGGAAUGAAAGUGAACGGAGGUGAGAACCCUUAAGGGUGCAUCAUCGACCGAUCCUGAUGUCUUCGGAUGGAUUUGAGUAAGAGCAUAGCUGUUGGGACCCGAAAGAUGGUGAACUAUGCCUGAAUAGGGUGAAGCCAGAGGAAACUCUGGUGGAGGCUCGCAGCGGUUCUGACGUGCAAAUCGAU
This 782-nucleotide ribosomal RNA is filed under the name Darkera picea. Its description in RNAcentral is "eukaryotic LSU rRNA". It matches the Rfam family "Eukaryotic large subunit ribosomal RNA", at positions 103 to 902 of the family's 3401-position model. The record is from RNAcentral. Lineage: Eukaryota; Fungi; Ascomycota; Leotiomycetes; Phacidiales; Phacidiaceae.